RNAcentral lists this unclassified non-coding RNA (189 nucleotides) under Glomus sp. RNAcentral's name for it is "partial contains 5.8S ribosomal RNA and internal transcribed spacer 2". The stretch from base 1 to 65 matches the Rfam family "5.8S ribosomal RNA", at positions 84 to 154 of the family's 154-position model. The record is from RNAcentral. Lineage: Eukaryota; Fungi; Glomeromycota; Glomeromycetes; Glomerales; Glomeraceae.
GUGAAUCAUCAAAUUUUUGAACGCAAAUUGCACUCUCUUCGGAGAGUAUGCCUGUUUGAGGGUCAGCCUAUAAAAAUAGACAUAGUUGCUGUUUUGCGGUGUGGCAUGUCGGAAAAUGUGUGAUAUUAUAUACUUUUGAUUUAUGAGACUUUUAAAUUUUUUUUGGUUAUUUGAACGUUUUUAAUAUUU